AGAGUUUGCGAACGAGGUUCCACAGAAAGUUACUCCUGCAGUGAAUGAAUCCGUCUACGUCCUGUGUAAUGCCACCGGAAACCCCCAACCCACUGUCAAAUGGCUUUUCAAGUCUGAAGAGGUGACAUCCAUGACGGACAUGUAUGGAGCUGUCCUGGCCCUGGACAUGAUACAGAGGGAAGAUGCAGGGAACUACACAUGUCUGGCAUCAAGUUCUGCCGGAAACAUCACCAGAAACAUGCAGCUCAUCGUCCAAUAUCCGCCCAGUGCUGAAGUGUCUCCAACUGAUGUAGUGACUGAGGCAGGCCAGUCUGAGCUGACACUGACCUGCCAUACCACUGGAAACCCCUC
Long non-coding RNA from Branchiostoma belcheri (Belcher's lancelet), 351 nucleotides. RefSeq lists it as uncharacterized. The transcript has 3 exons. NCBI's taxonomy places the organism in Eukaryota, Metazoa, Chordata, Leptocardii, Amphioxiformes, Branchiostomatidae. The record is from RefSeq and is a predicted model, not a curated record.